GUAGUUGACUCCUGGCUCAGGACAACGCUGGCGGCGCGCCUAACACAUGCAAGUCGAACGGACGAGGAAGUGCUUGCACUUCCGAGUUAGUGCGGACGGGUGAGUAACACGUGAGCAACCUGCCGUUUUAGAGGGGGAUAACGUCCUGAAAAGGACGCUAAUACCGCAUAAAGUCGAGAUGUGGCAUCGCAUCAUGACCAAAGGAGUAAUCCGCUGAAAGAUGGGCUCGCGCCUGAUUAGCUAGUUGGAGUGGUAACGGCACACCAAGGCGACGAUCAGUAGCCGGACUGAGAGGUUGAACGGCCACAUUGGGACUGAGACACGGCCCAGACUCCUACGGGAGGCAGCAGUGGGGGAAUAUUGGGCAAUGGGGGAAACCCUGACCCAGCGACGCCGCGUGAGGGAUGAAGGUUUUCGGAUUGUAAACCUCUGUCUUCGGGGACGAAAAAAUGACGGUACCCGAGGAGGAAGCCACGGCUAACUACGUG
RNAcentral lists this ribosomal RNA (488 nucleotides) under uncultured Oscillospiraceae bacterium. RNAcentral describes it as "bacterial SSU rRNA". It matches the Rfam family "Bacterial small subunit ribosomal RNA", at positions 9 to 507 of the family's 1533-position model. The record is from RNAcentral. Lineage: Bacteria; Bacillati; Bacillota; Clostridia; Eubacteriales; Oscillospiraceae.